GACGAACGCUGGCGGCGUGCUUAACACAUGCAAGUCGAACGAUGAAGAAAAGAAUCGAAGCUUCGGCAGAAAUUCAUUUCGGAUUAGUGGCAGACGGGUGAGUAACGCGUGAGCAACCUACCUCUUACAAAGGGAUAGCCUCGGGAAACCGGGAUUAAUACCAUAUAACAUUGUGACGAAGCAUUUCGAUGCAAUCAAAGCUACGGCGGUAAGAGAUGGGCUCGCGUCCCAUUAACCGGAUGGUGAGGUAGCGGCUCACCAUAGUGACGAUGGGUAACCGGCCUGAGAGGGUGAACGGUCACACUGGAACUGAGACACGGUCCAGACUCCUACGGGAGGCAGCAGUGGGGAAUAUUGCACAAUGGAGGGAACUCUGAUGCAGCGACGCCGCGUGAGUGAUGAAGGAAUUCGUUUCGUAAAACUCUGUUCUAUGGGAAGAAAAGGACUGUACCAUAGGAGAAAGCUCCGGCUAAAUACGUG
This 480-nucleotide ribosomal RNA is filed under the name uncultured bacterium. Its description in RNAcentral is "partial 16S ribosomal RNA". It matches the Rfam family "Bacterial small subunit ribosomal RNA", at positions 28 to 507 of the family's 1533-position model. The record is from RNAcentral.